AGAAGAUGCUCAUGUAUCUUCUCAGCCCAAACGGUCCCUGGAUAUCGAUUGCUUUUUAUAUAAUCGCUAUCCAUAACUCACG
This 82-nucleotide non-coding RNA is filed under the name Legionella pneumophila subsp. pneumophila. Its description in RNAcentral is "Legionella RNA 69". It matches the Rfam family "Legionella RNA 69". Lineage: Bacteria; Pseudomonadati; Pseudomonadota; Gammaproteobacteria; Legionellales; Legionellaceae. RNAcentral also lists the same sequence under 1 other name. The record is from RNAcentral.